UACAGAGGUCUCAAGCGUUGUUCGGAUUCAUUGGGCGUAAAGGGCUCGUAGGCGGCCAACUAAGUCGGACGUGAAAUCCCCAGGCUCAACCUGGGAACUGCGUCCGAUACUGGAUGGCUUGAAUUCGGGAGAGGGAUGCAGAAUUCCAGGUGUAGCGGUGAAAUGCGUAGAUAUCUGGAGGAAUACCGGUGGCGAAGGCGGCAUCCUGGACCGACAUUGACGCUGAGGAGCGAAAGCUAGGGGAGCAAACGGG
Molecule: ribosomal RNA, 253 nt
Filed under: uncultured bacterium
Lineage: Bacteria
Description: partial 16S ribosomal RNA
Rfam family: Bacterial small subunit ribosomal RNA
Source: RNAcentral